GAGGAAGGUGGGGAUGACGUCAAGUCCUCAUGGCCCUUAUGGGUAGGGCUUCACACGUAAUACAAUGGCGCGUACAGAGGGUUGCCAAGCAGCGAUGCGGAGCCAAUCCCAGAAAGCGCGUCGUAGUCCGGAUUGCAGUCUGCAACUCGACUGCAUGAAGUCGGAAUCGCUAGUAAUCGCGCAUCAGCCAUGGCGCGGUGAAUACGUUCCCGGGCCUUGUACACACCGCCCGUCAAGCCAUGGAAGCUGGGGGCGCCUGAAGUCGGUAACCGCAAGGAACUGCCUAGGGCGAAACCAGUGACUGGGGCUAAGUCGUAACAAGGUAGCCGUAA
RNAcentral lists this ribosomal RNA (332 nucleotides) under uncultured bacterium. Its description in RNAcentral is "bacterial SSU rRNA". It matches the Rfam family "Bacterial small subunit ribosomal RNA", at positions 1166 to 1505 of the family's 1533-position model. The record is from RNAcentral.